GGUACCCUUUCAGAUAGUCUCA
Molecule: microRNA, 22 nt
Filed under: Glycine max (soybean)
Lineage: Eukaryota; Viridiplantae; Streptophyta; Magnoliopsida; Fabales; Fabaceae
Description: gma-miR5034
Source: miRBase by way of RNAcentral